Molecule: ribosomal RNA, 428 nt
Filed under: uncultured bacterium
Lineage: Bacteria
Description: partial 16S ribosomal RNA
Rfam family: Bacterial small subunit ribosomal RNA
Source: RNAcentral
UAGGGAAUCUUCCGCAAUGGACGAAAGUCUGACGGAGCAACGCCGCGUGAGUGAUGAAGGUUUUCGGAUCGUAAAGCUCUGUUGUUAGGGAAGAACAAGUGCCGUUCAAAUAGGGCGGCACCUUGACGGUACCUAACCAGAAAGCCACGGCUAACUACGUGCCAGCAGCCGCGGUAAUACGUAGGUGGCAAGCGUUGUACGGAAUUAUUGGGCGUAAAGGGCUCGCAGGCGGUUUCUUAAGUCUGAUGUGAAAGCCCCCGGCUCAACCGGGGAGGGUCAUUGGAAACUGGGGAACUUGAGUGCAGAAGAGGAGAGUGGAAUUCCACGUGUAGCGGUGAAAUGCGUAGAGAUGUGGAGGAACACCAGUGGCGAAGGCGACUCUCUGGUCUGUAACUGACGCUGAGGAGCGAAAGCGUGGGGAGCGAACA